UAGGGAAUCUUCCGCAAUGGACGCAAGUCUGACGGAGCAACGCCGCGUGAGUGAAGAAGGAUUUCGGUUCGUAAAACUCUGUUGUUAGAGAAGAACAGCGCAUAGAGUAACUGUUAUGCGUGUGACGGUAUCUAACCAGAAAGCCACGGCUAACUACGUGCCAGCAGCCGCGGUAAUACGUAGGUGGCAAGCGUUGUCCGGAUUUAUUGGGCGUAAAGCGAGCGCAGGCGGUCAAUUAAGUCUGAUGUGAAAGCCCCCGGCUCAACCGGGGAGGGUCAUUGGAAACUGGUUGACUUAAGUGCAGAAGAGGAGAGUGGAAUUCCAUGUGUAGCGGUGAAAUGCGUAGAUAUAUGGAGGAGCACCAGUGGCGAAGGCGACUCUCUGGUCUGUAACUGACGCUGAGGUUCGAAAGCGUGGGUAGCAAACAGG
RNAcentral lists this ribosomal RNA (429 nucleotides) under Bacteroidota bacterium. Its description in RNAcentral is "Bacteroidetes bacterium partial 16S ribosomal RNA". It matches the Rfam family "Bacterial small subunit ribosomal RNA", at positions 355 to 776 of the family's 1533-position model. Lineage: Bacteria; Pseudomonadati; Bacteroidota. The record is from RNAcentral.